UGGAUAUAAUGAGUGAAA
This 18-nucleotide microRNA is filed under the name Corchorus olitorius. RNAcentral describes it as "hsa-miR-47". Lineage: Eukaryota; Viridiplantae; Streptophyta; Magnoliopsida; Malvales; Malvaceae. The record is from RNAcentral.